UCCAAAGGCUGAUGCAAACUUUUACAUUGAUACUGGAGGGGACAAAGUGGGACUUGACAUCAAAUACAUCAAUGCCUUCAAAGGUCGUGGCAUCUUCACCUCUGCUCUAUUUGAAGGGGGAGAAUUUCUGUUUGAAUAUAGAGGUGAACUAAUAAGCCAGCAAGAAUGUGAAUGGAGACACUCACGACUGCCUGAAGGUGUUCAUGUUCGAGUUCCAUUUUAAUGGAAAACUAUGGUGUUUUGAUGCAGCAAAAGAGGAUGGGUCGCUUGGAAGACUUGUGAACGAUAAUAAUGUCAACCCCAAUGCCAAGAUGAAGUACCUAAACAUACAAGGGAAGCCCCAUCUGUGUUUGUUUGCAACACCAGACAUCAGUCAAGGAGAGGAGGUCACCUAUAAUUAUGGUGACUCGGAUUGACCGUGGAGAUGCAAGAAAUCUAAAGGAAAGUCUUCGGACGGGGAGCACGGUGAGGGUCCAUCUACAGCCGAGCCUUCUCAGUGUACUCAAAAGGUUUCAACAAGUAAGAGGCAAGAAAAGAGAUCUCCAGGUGCAUCAACGAGUCUGCUCAAAAGAUAUGAAAAGAUGAUAACAGUGAGCUGAUUGAGUCUGCUCAGAGGGACGAAACUGACCAGCUUGAGACCUCUGUGGAUGGCCUGAAUCCAACAUUCACACAACUUGGUCUCCUCAACAGGGUUGAAGAGUUUGUUCUGGCAUCAAUCCUCAGAAGAGUUACAAAUGAUAACCAACACCCAUCACAGGUGAGUGGAACACAGAACAGAGCACAUGGGGUUUGUUGUUGGUCUUUAGCUGUCUAUCAUCCGAUGAAGAAUGCACACCGGACUCGGAAACACAAGAUGACGACGAUGAUGAUUAUGAUGAUGAUGAUGCAAGCAUCCCCAUUACGCCUCAUCAGUUGAAACCAGGACGGAUUCAAGUGAAACCAGUACUACCUGACGCUGGAGCAUCCCAGUCGUCAAAAGGUUGCCCAACUCUUCCAAUGCUGUUGAAACCUCGAGUUACCACGACUCAACACAGGAAAAGUGUGAAGUUGAACUUAACAGACAACAAGUAACUACAAACGAUUCCUGUUAUGUUUGUGGUAAGCCA
Molecule: long non-coding RNA, 1106 nt
Organism: Pseudoliparis swirei
Lineage: Eukaryota; Metazoa; Chordata; Actinopteri; Perciformes; Liparidae
Exons: 6
Source: RefSeq, a predicted model, not a curated record